CAUGUCUUUUUGAUUAUGAUUUAAGGUCUGGCCUGCCCGUUGAUUAUUUAAAUGGCUGCGGUAUAUUGACCGUACUAAGGUAGCAUAAUAAUUAGUUUCUUAAUUAGGAACUGGAAUGAAUGGCUGAACGAGAAAGCAGCUGUCUCUAAAUUAUUUGUAGAAUUUAAUUUCUAAGUUAGAAAGCUUAGAUGAAUAUAAAAGACGAGAAGACCCUAUAGAGUUUAACAUUAUAAAUAACUAAAUUUUUUGGAAACAGUAAAUUUAAUAUUGAAUAUUGUUUGGUUGGGGCGAUAGCAGGAUUUAAAUAACUCUUGUUUGUUAUUUACAUUAAUUUGUGGUUGAUUGAUCCAGAAUUUUUGAUUAUAAGAAUAAAUUACCUUAGGGAUAACAGCGUAAUCUUUUUAGAGAGUUCUUAUCGAAAUAAAGGGUUGCGACCUCGAUGUUGGAUUAAAAUUUAUUUUUGGCGUAAAGGCUAGAAAAUUGAGUCUGUUCGACUUUUAAAAUUUUACAUGAUCUGAGU
This 520-nucleotide ribosomal RNA is filed under the name Callirhipis suturalis. Its description in RNAcentral is "partial 16S ribosomal RNA". It matches the Rfam family "Bacterial large subunit ribosomal RNA", at positions 1816 to 2610 of the family's 2925-position model. The record is from RNAcentral. Lineage: Eukaryota; Metazoa; Arthropoda; Insecta; Coleoptera; Callirhipidae.